AGUAACGGCGAGUGAAGCGGCAACAGCUCAAAUUUGAAAUCUGGCGCAAGCCCGAGUUGUAAUUUGUAGAGGAUGCUUCUGGGUAGCGACCGAUCUAAGUUCCUUGGAACAGGACGUCAUAGAGGGUGAGAAUCCCGUAUGUGACCGGCCCGCACCCUUUACGUAGCUCCUUCGACGAGUCGAGUUGUUUGGGAAUGCAGCUCUAAAUGGGAGGUAAAUUUCUUCUAAAGCUAAAUACCGGCCAGAGACCGAUAGCGCACAAGUAGAGUGAUCGAAAGAUGAAAAGUACUUUGGAAAGAGAGUUAAAAAGCACGUGAAAUUGUUGAAAGGGAAGCGCCUGCAACCAGACUUCGCGGCAGUGUUCCGCCGGUCUUCUGACCGGUUCAUUCUCUGUCGCGAGGCCAUCAUCGUCUGGGCCCGCCGGAUAAGACCUGAGGAAUGUGGCUCCCCCUCGGGGGAGUGUUAUAGCCUCUGGUGAUGCGGCGUGGCUCGGGCGAGGUCCGCGCUUCGGCAAGGAUGAUGGCGUAAUGGUUGUCGGCGGCCCGUCUUGAAACACGGACCAAGGAGUCUAACAUCUAUGCGAGUGUUCGGGUGUCAAACCCCUACGCGUAAUGAAAGUGAACGGAGGUGGGAACCGUAAGGUGCACCAUCGACCGAUCCUGAUGUCCUCGGAUGGAUUUGAGUAAGAGCAUAGCUGUUGGGACCCGAAAGAUGGUGAACUAUGCCUGAAUAGGGUGAAGCCAGAGGAAACUCUGGUGGAGGCUCGCAGCGGUUCUGACGUGCAAAUCGAUCGUCAAAUUUGGGUAUAGGGGCG
This 814-nucleotide ribosomal RNA is filed under the name Cercospora cf. chenopodii. RNAcentral's name for it is "partial 28S large subunit ribosomal RNA". It matches the Rfam family "Eukaryotic large subunit ribosomal RNA", at positions 82 to 925 of the family's 3401-position model. The record is from RNAcentral. Lineage: Eukaryota; Fungi; Ascomycota; Dothideomycetes; Mycosphaerellales; Mycosphaerellaceae.